This is a long non-coding RNA of Thrips palmi, 2362 nucleotides long. RefSeq lists it as uncharacterized. Lineage: Eukaryota; Metazoa; Arthropoda; Insecta; Thysanoptera; Thripidae. The transcript is spliced from 2 exons. The record is from RefSeq and is a predicted model, not a curated record.
GUCGCGCAGCGCGUUCAGUGCUCGCCAGGCAGCCGACCCGAUCGCACCGUUCGGAUUGCCGCCGCUCGCCUUCCGCCACUCUCGCGGAUACUCGCAGCCCUCGCGGAUACUCAGCGCCACCAGGCCCUCCCCGCACCGACUCGCCCGCCAACCAGGACAGGAUGACCAGCCCCCAGAGCAAGCCCAAGAGAAAGUGGCACUUCCCCACCGGGGACGGCGACAGCGCGCUGCCCACCAUCUCGCUGCCCGAGGGGGUGUCCAUGUCGGGGCUGCUCGGCCCCCAGGACGCGCCCCGCGGCUACGCCUGGACCCGCCUGUGGCGCUUCGCCGCCCUGCUGCUGCACACCGGCUGCUGAAUGCGCCAAGCUGCCCCGGUGCCGCGACACAACAUCGCCGCCUCCACAGCAACAACAACAGCAACAACAACCACCCCUUCUCACUCACAGUCGCGCAUUCCCCAGACGCCCAAACACCAUUAAUUCAUCGUGAUGCAUUUUACUGUGGAUAUUUUGCUGUGUCGCUUCACUGUCGCUUGUAAAAACUCACCCACGACUUGACGUUUUCACCAUGUCGGAAAAAAAUUGGUGCUUGAUUUUUCGUAAAAGCUUUCUUUUUCAUUCUGGUCGUUGAAAGUUGUUUAGGGAUUUUGUGAUUAUGAAGGGGGAAUCUGCACACCAACAUGUCAGAUCGAUUUGUACAGUCUGUGUUCCUUUGAUGUUUUAGAAACCUAGGAUUUUACAGGACUGGGUGGGUCCUUGCUUUCAAAAUUAGAAGCAAGCUUUAUUUCUGAAAGGAAAGUCGUAAGUGGGGCAAAUUGUGGGUGGUGAAUAGAUGUUCUUUUCAAUUAAAGACAAGUAUAGGAAAUCUGCUGAAAGUGUCUUUAGUGGUUUUCAUUGACCCUUCUCUUUAAAAACUUCUUAACAUGAUGAAACAAUAGAAAGUUCUACUCCAUGAAGAACAUAUUUUACUCCCUUAUUGUGCCUUAUUGGGAUACAGAACUGUGAGUGAAAACCACUAAUGGAACUUUGCAGGCAUUUGUUUUCCAUGUAAAAUUUUAUUUAAAAAUGUACUUUGUAGUGUUACAUUUACUUCCCAUUCAUUUAUGAGUCAAUUUUUAAAGUAAAGUACAAUAAAAUAUUAUUACUUUUCAUCUAGAGAGUUCCAAAGCACAAAUCAUUCUGUAGAAAGUCAUUUAAAUGGACAUUGAGUUGGGUGUUGGUCUCUUUUAUCUCACAUUGUCACAGUCGCUCUCAUAUGAAAACCAACAUUUAACAAAGCACUGUUUUGAAAAUCUUCCAUGUGUUACAAUAAUUAUUGUGAGCAAUAAUAUCUCACAAGUAUAAAUGAGAGUGAGAUUAUGGAAACUAGCAUCCCAAUUGGCUGUAGAAAUUUGUUCUGAGUAAUAACAUAAUUGCUGUUGGUGUAAUAGUCUAUUAAGAUCAAUUCUUCUGUUUGAAAUCUUGUAGCUCAGCAGGGUUGAGUAAUUAGCGCUGAAUCUGGGUGUUGUUAUAAUAUGUGUUGCUUCUAUUGAUUCACAUGCAAUUUAUCGGCUGUUGACUAUUAUUACUGAUAAGGCUGAUAAACAGACAGGAGACAAGAGUAUGUAUGUGCGAGUGAAUGUGUGGAUGUUAAAUACUUCAUAUUCAGGGGGAAAUGUGCCAUUGCUACCGCUUGGUUCUUGCUGAUUUUCCAAAACAACAGAUUGCCUAAUUUAUCACACGGAGCAGCAUAGGCACUUGCCAUGCCUGAUGCAAUUCUGGACAGCUUCCCCGGCGGUAGCCCCCGUGUGAAAGGAAGAGUGAGAGUGGAAAAAUUAUUGGUUUAGGGCAAAAUGUUGGAUCAGUCUCUCUGAAAGUUGAUUAACAUCAAAUUGGAUGUGAGAUUUAAUUCCUACUUCUUUAGUAAACUUAGAUUUUCAAAGUAUCUUUUGUUAAUAACUAUUAUUUUUUAAACUCACGUUUUAGGUACUUGAUUUAUUGUGUCCUCCAACUAGUCUGUUCAGGAUGGAAAUGGAUGAAGUAUACACAUGUCGUGGUCUGUUCCCAUUACUACAACACUUCUAAUGUAAAAAUACAUCUACCUGUGUUGUUUGAACUUGUAUCAAUUAUGUUGUGAUAGAAUCAUCAGUAACAAGUCUUCACUUGUUCUCUAGUGCAAUUUUCUCUUGAAUUAUGAAAUUUUGAUGUUGUAGGUGCCUUAGUUGAUAUGUUCCAGUUUCUCAUUAGGGUGUUAUUAUAGCAGCCUCUUUGCAGGCUCAUGUGUUAUGUUAUAAUAAUUUGUAAUUGUAUUAUAUAAAUAAAUGUGUGAGAGAAUAAAGAAGAAAUUUCAUCAAAAUGACUUCAAAUAAACCCAAAAACAUUCA